RNAcentral lists this ribosomal RNA (116 nucleotides) under Gammaproteobacteria bacterium. Lineage: Bacteria; Pseudomonadati; Pseudomonadota; Gammaproteobacteria. RNAcentral also lists the same sequence under 4 other names. The record is from RNAcentral.
CCUGGCGGUCAUAGCGGGCGGGAACCACCCGAUCCCAUUCCGAACUCGGAAGUGAAAACGCUCUGCGCCGAUGGUAGUUUGGCCGUAGGCCAGGUGAGAGUAGGUCACUGCCAGGA